GACGAACGCUGGCGGCGUGCUUAACACAUGCAAGUCGAACGGAAAGGCCCUGCUUUUGUGGGGUGCUCGAGUGGCGAACGGGUGAGUAACACGUGAGUAACCUGCCCUUGACUUUGGGAUAACUUCAGGAAACUGGGGCUAAUACCGGAUAGGAGCUCCUGCUGCAUGGUGGGGGUUGGAAAGUUUCGGCGGUUGGGGAUGGACUCGCGGCUUAUCAGCUGGUUGGCGGGGUAGUGGCUUACCAAGGCUUUGACGGGUAGCCGGCCUGAGAGGGUGAACGGCGACAUUGGGCCUGCGAUACGGCGCAGACUCCUACGGGAGGCAGUAGUGGGGAAUCUUGCACAAUGGGCGGAAGCCUGAUGUAGCAACGCCGCGUGCGGGAUGCCGGCCUUCGGGUUGUAAACCGCUUUGGCCUGUGACGAAGCGUGAGUGACGGUAAUGGGUAAAGAAGCACCGGCUAACUACGUG
This 468-nucleotide ribosomal RNA is filed under the name uncultured bacterium. RNAcentral describes it as "partial 16S ribosomal RNA". It matches the Rfam family "Bacterial small subunit ribosomal RNA", at positions 28 to 507 of the family's 1533-position model. The record is from RNAcentral.